GCUCUUGGCAGAAAAGGACUUUUAUAGGAUCAUAAUAAAUACCGAGCCUCAGCAGCUUUCAUGUGCCUUGCAGGAGACAGUGGCAGCAGGGGCAAAUGAUUCUUCCUGGAUGGUGACUUUAACAAAGACUUCUUCUGGGGGGCACCGAUCUCCACCUGGCCAUGUCUUCAAGCCCAAGGAGAAGUCCCAGGAUGGGUCUGAGCUAAUCACGGUGAUCGCAAUACAAAUGACUGCGCUAAGCAUGGCACAGCUGGCCUCAAUCCUGGCCAAUGCAACCUGAGAAUCAACUGCUGGUGGGAUUCUGGGGGAGUUUUUCUCACUGUUAUAAACAGAUGCAUAAGCAGAAAUACUUCUCUUUGCUGGACACUGUCAUGUCUAAUGUGACGCCUGGAUCACUGAAGCCCCCAGAGGCCACGGGACACGCUGAAAAUGGCCCAGUGGGAAGGCGGAAAGCCUUGGGUCCUGAAAAACACUUCUAAGUCACUGACAGACCAAACUGAAAUCAUCCUUUAUUUUGUUCUUUUCAUGUCAGAAAAAAAGACCCCUAAAUUCUUUAAGUGACUUUUUUGUUAAGUUUUUGUUUCUAGAAGCCCAAAAUAUCCUAAUAAUAAUAAUUUUAAAUAAUCCACCUAUUUUUGGAAAUAGCUUGUUCAUCAUUGAGAUUAUGAAUAAUAGAUCAGUUCUCACCCCUGCCUUCCCUGCCAUUUACCAGAGUUAACUGUGAAGAAUUCUCUGUGUGUUUUUAAAAAUCCUGUAAAAUGCACACACAACACACACACAUAUUUAUGAUAAUGCUUGUUCUUAACCAAAAACUGAGAUCAAAUCUCUAUCUCACUAUAUGGAUAAGCAGUAAAUAAACCUUUUUCUAAUGCAGUAGAAAAGGAAAUCAACCUCUCCAAUGUUUAGGAUGUGACUUCAGUAGCUAGUUUCUUUGUGCCGUGACACUGCCUUCAGAAUUCUGAUCUUGGCCAAUUUUCCUAUCCAGCAAAUAAAGCACCAUUUCCCCCACACUGGUACAUUUUAAAAAGUUAGCUGUGAAUUCUAAGCUGCAAACAUUAGAUGCAGCAGGCGGUGUUCUCAUUGUAUCACCACUGGCUCUCGCCAAGGAGCCUGUGUGUUACCUGGAGAUCAAGGCGAAAAGCCUCAAAUGCACAAAUUCUGAAGUCAACUUGCUGUUUAUUAUUUUCAUGGAUUUUUCAAUACCCUUGGUAAUCGCAAUUUACAGCAAUGUGCUCUAAACUCUAACUUCAGCUGGGCAAAGUGGCUAACACCUGUAAUCCCAGCACUUUGGGAGGCUGAGGUAGUUGGAAUGCUUAAGCCCAGGAGUUUGAGACCAGCCUGGGCAACAUAGGAGACCCCAUCUAGAUAGACAGAAAGAUAGAUAGAUAGAUAGAUGGAUGAUAGACAGACAGACAGACAGACAUAGAUAAGCAAGCCCGGCAUGGUGUCACAUGCCUAUAGUUUCCGCUACUUGGGAGGCUGAGGUGGGAGGAUCACUUGAGCCCAGGAAGUUGAGGCUGCAGUGAACUGUGAUUGUGACCCUUCACUCCAGCCUGGGUGACAGAGCGAGACCCUGUCUCAAAACAAUACAACUCCCCACCCCCAACAAAAACCAAUGAUUCUAAUUUCAUUGCAAACCUUUACACACACACACACACACAUGCACACACCCCAGAAACAGGAGUGCGUGCAGGACAUGUGGAGGGGACAGACGUAAGUUGGGGAACGAUGGCUCGGUGGCAUCGUGCUGUUUUAUUUUUGUUGUUACCUCAGUGAAAACCUCAGAUAUAACCAGGCUCAUCUAUUUAUAUAUUGACCCAGAAGUUUC
This 1828-nucleotide long non-coding RNA is filed under the name Pan troglodytes (chimpanzee). Its description in RNAcentral is "long non-coding RNA NONPTRT016934". Lineage: Eukaryota; Metazoa; Chordata; Mammalia; Primates; Hominidae. The record is from RNAcentral.